UGAAUACGAGAUGCUACGGCGUCGAAGCAGUCUAUGUCAUACUUCCAAGAAAAGCUUGCACUGUCAUAAACAAAUAAUGCCUGUACCAUAACCGACACAGGUGGGUAGGUAGAGUAUACUAAGGGGCGCGAGAUAACUCUCUCUAAGGAACUCGGCAAAAUGACUCCGUAACUUCGGGGGAAGGAGUGCCUUAUUUUAUAAGGUUGCAAUAACAAGAUCCAAGCAACUGUUUACCAAAAACACAGGUCUCCGCUAAGUCGUAAGACGAUGUAUGGGGGCUGACGCCUGCCCAGUGCCAGAAGGUUAAAGAAGUUGGUUAGCAUCCGCGAAGCUGAUAACUGAAGCCCUGGUGAACGGCGGCCGUAACAAUAACGGUCCUAAGGUAGCGAAAUUCCUUGUCGGGUAAGUUCCGACCCGCACGAAAGGCGUAAUGAUUUGGAUACUGUCUCAGAGAGGGGCUCGGUGAAAUAGACUUGUCUGUGAAGAUGCGGACUACCUGCACCAGGACAGAAAGACCCUAUGAAGCUUUACUGUAACUUGAAAUUGAAAUUGGACUUUACUUGCGCAGUAUAGGUGGGAGGCGUUGAGAAUAUUCUUGCGGGAAUGUUGGAGCCAUCAGUGAGAUACCACUCUUGUAAUGUUAGAUUUCUAACUUUGUAUCAUUAUCUGGUCAAAGGACAGUUUCAGGCGGGCAGUUUGACUGGGGCGGUCGCCUCCCAAACGGUAACGGAGGCGCACAAAGGUUUCCUCUGAACGGGUAGAAAUCGUAUCUAGAGUGUAAAGGCAUAAGGAAGCUUGACUGUGAGACCUACAAGUCGAGCAGGGACGAAAGUCGGUCUUAGUGAUCUGACGGUGCUGAGUGGAAAGGCCGUCACUCAACGGAUAAAAGUUACUCUAGGAUAACAGGCUGAUCUCCCCCAAGAGUUCACAUCGACGGGGAGGUUUGGCACCUCGAUGUCGGCUCAUCGCAUCCUGGGGCGGUAGUACGUCCCAAGGGUUGGGCUGUUCGCCCAUGAAAGCGGUACGCGAGCUGGGUUCAGAACGUCGUGAGACAGUUCGGUCCAUAUCCGGUGUAGGCGUUAGAAUAUUGAGAGGAGCCUUCUUUAGUACGAGAGGACCGAGAAGGACAUACCUCUGGUGUACCAGUUAUCGUGCCAACGGUAAACGCUGGGUAGCUAUGUAUGGAGUGGAUAACCGCUGAAAGCAUCUAAGUGGGAAGCCCACCUCAAGAUAAG
Molecule: ribosomal RNA, 1235 nt
Filed under: metagenome
Description: bacterial LSU rRNA
Rfam family: Bacterial large subunit ribosomal RNA
Source: RNAcentral